GACGAACGCUGGCGGCGUGCUUAACACAUGCAAGUCGAACGGAAAGGCCCUGCUUUUGUGGGUGCUCGAGUGGCGAACGGGUGAGUAACACGUGAGUAACCUGCCCUUGACUUUGGGAUAACUUCAGGAAACUGGGGCUAAUACCGGAUAGGAGCUCCUGCUGCAUGGUGGGGGUUGGAAAGUUUCGGCGGUUGGGGAUGGACUCGCGGCUUAUCAGCUUGUUGGUGGGGUAGUGGCUUACCAAGGCUUUGACGGGUAGCCGGCCUGAGAGGGUGACCGGCCACAUUGGGACUGAGAUACGGCCCAGACUCCUACGGGAGGCAGCAGUGGGGAAUAUUGCACAUGGGCGGAAGCCUGAUGCAGCAACGCCGCGUGCGGGAUGACGGCCUUCGGGUUGUAAACCGCUUUCGCCUGUGACGAAGCGUGAGUGACGGUAAUGGGUAAAGAAGCACCGGCUAACUACGUG
RNAcentral lists this ribosomal RNA (466 nucleotides) under uncultured bacterium. RNAcentral's name for it is "partial 16S ribosomal RNA". It matches the Rfam family "Bacterial small subunit ribosomal RNA", at positions 28 to 507 of the family's 1533-position model. The record is from RNAcentral.